Molecule: small RNA, 125 nt
Filed under: Marmota monax (woodchuck)
Lineage: Eukaryota; Metazoa; Chordata; Mammalia; Rodentia; Sciuridae
Source: RNAcentral
GCCGGGCGCUGUGGUGCAUGCCUGUAAUCCCAGCAGCUUGGGAGGCUGAGGUAGGAGGAUCACAAGUUCAAAGUCAGCCUCAGCAACAGCAAGGUACUAAACAACUCAGGAAGACUCUGUCUCUA